RNAcentral lists this non-coding RNA (30 nucleotides) under Mus musculus (house mouse). Lineage: Eukaryota; Metazoa; Chordata; Mammalia; Rodentia; Muridae. The record is from RNAcentral.
UGCCUAUGCCAUAAAGAGACUUAGGGCAUU